UACGGAGGGUGCUAGCGUUGUUCGGAAUCACUGGGCUUAAAGGGCGCGUAGGCGGUCCGACAAGUCAGGGGUGAAAUCCUGCAGCUUAACUGUAGAAGUGCCUUUGAUACUGUCGGUCUUGAGGGAAAUAGGGGUGUGCGGAACUUCCAGUGGAGCGGUGAAAUGCGUUGAUAUUGGAAGGAACGCCGGAGGCGAAAGCGGCGCACUGGAUUUCUUCUGACGCUGAGGCGCGAAAGCUAGGGGAGCAAACGGG
Molecule: ribosomal RNA, 253 nt
Filed under: uncultured bacterium
Lineage: Bacteria
Description: partial 16S ribosomal RNA
Rfam family: Bacterial small subunit ribosomal RNA
Source: RNAcentral